Long non-coding RNA from Dama dama (fallow deer), 1946 nucleotides. RefSeq lists it as uncharacterized. The record is from RefSeq and is a predicted model, not a curated record. Lineage: Eukaryota; Metazoa; Chordata; Mammalia; Artiodactyla; Cervidae. The transcript is spliced from 2 exons.
AGGGCGCCUGCGCGCCGCGCGCCCAGCUCGCUCCGCAACCAGUGGCCUGCCCCGCCCCGUUCCGCCCCGCAGCACGUGAUAGGCUAUCCCCGCCCCGCCGUGCUAUUAUUGGCGGAGACAUAGCGAUUUCUGGUCCUGUGAAGGCAGCUCUUGUUUUCCAUUGGGAAGCUUGGCGCCAACGUCAACUGUCACAUGACUUUCAGGACGCCGCUGGGCCUGCAAAAACUGCACGUGACGAGAAGUUCUUCGAACCAUUGGAAGCGUGGCCCAUCGCGCUACCUCCAGACCAGGAGGUGGGGCAGGGCUGCUUCAGCUCACUGGUCACGUGUUUCAGGAAGCCGCCUGUGAUCUGUUGGUACCCCCAGAACCGGCGCACAAUCGUUGCUCUUCAUUGGUCCGAAGACACCACUAAAAGACUUUUAUACUCUUUGCGGUUAUGGUUGGCCUCUCAUUGGCUGGAGGCUUCCCUUCCUGGGCCUGCGAUCUUGGGGCGCAACUUUAUUGGCCCGAACUUAGCCCCAGAACCUGGGGGCGUGGCUCAAAGAGCGGCAGUAAACGCCUGAGGAAGUGAGCGCUGUUGUGGGCACCGAGAGUAGAAAGAAAGGAUAGGCAACAGUUAGCCGCUCUACUCAAAGGAAUACCUCUGAAAAGUCAGAGUGAAGAUAUGCCAGGAAGAAAUGGAUUAAAACGUGGUUAAGAAUCUGCCUGCAAGGGACACAGGUUUGAUCCCUUACCCUGGAAGAUCCCACAUGCCACGGAGCAACUAAGUCUGUGUGCUCUGCAAUAAGAGAAGCCACUGCAACAAGAAGCCAGAGCUUCAAAAGGAAGAGUAGUCCCUGCUCACAAAAGUAGAGAAAGCCUGCGUGCACCGACGAAAACCCAGAGCAGCCAAAAAUAAAUUAAUAAAUAAAAUUUUAAAAAAUAAAUUAAAAAAACCUUUCAUAGACUUCCUUGGUGGUCCACUGGUUAGGACUCCAUGCUUCCAACAUAAGGGAUAUGAGUUGGUGAACUAAGAUCACACAUGACAUGUGGCACAACCAAGAAAAUUAAAAGAAAGAAAAAAAAAAAAACCCACAAAAACCCUUCAGCAAUUGAAUAUUGAUAGAUAUUAUCCCUGGGCUGAUUUUUUUCUUAUGAUUGAACUUAUCCAUCAUUCAAAAUCAUGCUUUCCAUGUCUCAAUUGUACACACAUUUCUAAGGUGAAACAUUACUUUUAGACCACCCAUUUGUUACCUUUGCUAAAAUUACUGGAUGAAUAAGGAAAAUAAUAAUAAUAAUAGUGAUAUCAAUAAUAGUGAUAGAAUAAAUCAGUCAUUUGACACUGCACUCAGUUCUUUAUAUAUGUUAUUUUUGUUUUUAUAUAUAUUGGAAAAUUCCAUGAACAGAAGAUCUUGGCUGGCUGCAGUCCAUGGGGUUGCAAAGAGUCAUCCACAACUGAAUAUGCACCCAUAUUGUCAUUAUUCUUAUGUCCCUAACACAAGAACAGUUCUAGUACAUAGUUGAUGCUCAGUAAGUAUUUGUUACAUGAAUGAGAUAGAAAUGGGGCUGGGAAACAUUGGUUUGGGCCAUGGUGUUGGGUAAAAAGGCCAGAAGGAAAGGUUUGCGUUCAGGAGAGUGGAAAUAGGUGGAGGAUUCCAAUAACUAAGCAAGGACCAUUGAUUUGUGAUUUGAUGUGAAUUUGGUUAAACUUAUAAAAGUAGGGGCAGAAAAUAGCUGAAUUCUUACAAAGAUGUUAUAUUUAGUAGUUCUGUUACAAGAAUUUUCAUUUUGGGGAAGAGUUCUUCUCUAAUCUGAAUUCCUUGCAUCAAUUAUUGUGUAAAUCAAGAAACUGUCAGUCAUUUUCUCAUCCGAUCCCCACCCUGUCCCGAUCCUUUGUCUGUGUCAAGGAUCCAGAAAUUGUGUGUGAUUGUGUGUGUGUGUGUUCCAAUAAACCUUAUUUACCAAAA